Molecule: ribosomal RNA, 253 nt
Filed under: uncultured bacterium
Lineage: Bacteria
Description: partial 16S ribosomal RNA
Rfam family: Bacterial small subunit ribosomal RNA
Source: RNAcentral
UACGUAGGGGGCGAGCGUUGUCCGGAGUUACUGGGCGUAAAGCGCACGCAGGCGGUCUGCUAAGUUUGGAGUGACAGUUGGUGGCUUAACUGCCAAAGUGCUUCGAAAACUGACAGACUUGAGGGCUUCAGAGGGACACGGAAUUCCGGGUGGAGUGGUGAAAUGCGUAGAGAUCCGGAGGAACACCAAAGGCGAAGGCAGCGUCCUGGGGAGUACCUGACGCUCAGGUGCGAAAGCCAGGGGAGCGAACGGG